GUUUUUGUUGAUAUCAUAGACAGAUUGUGCAGGUAACUAUAAAGUUUACUCUGCUCUUCUCCCAGUUUACCUGAGACCUAAUUUAACGUGUUUCGGGAGGAGAGGAUGAAUUUGCACGUUGUAAAUCCCACAGCUCUGAUGCAGCGCGAACUAACAUGGCG
This is a long non-coding RNA of Sinocyclocheilus anshuiensis, 161 nucleotides long. RefSeq lists it as uncharacterized. The transcript has 5 exons. The record is from RefSeq and is a predicted model, not a curated record. NCBI's taxonomy places the organism in Eukaryota, Metazoa, Chordata, Actinopteri, Cypriniformes, Cyprinidae.